This 301-nucleotide ribosomal RNA is filed under the name uncultured bacterium. Its description in RNAcentral is "partial 16S ribosomal RNA". It matches the Rfam family "Bacterial small subunit ribosomal RNA", at positions 509 to 807 of the family's 1533-position model. The record is from RNAcentral.
CAGCCGCCACGGUAAUACAGAGGGUGCGAGCGUUAAUCGGAUUUACUGGUCGUAAAGCGUGCGUAGGCGGCUUUUUAAGUCGGAUGUGAAAUCCCUGAGCUUAACUUAGGAAUUGCAUUCGAUACUGGGAAGCUAGAGUAUGGGAGAGGAUGGUAGAAUUCCAGGUGUAGCGGUGAAAUGCGUAGAGAUCUGGAGGAAUACCGAUGGCGAAGGCAGCCAUCUGGCCUAAUACUGACGCUGAGGUACGAAAGCAUGGGGAGCAAACAGGAUUAGAUACCCCGGUAGUCCCUGUCUCUUAUAC